Molecule: non-coding RNA, 22 nt
Filed under: Arabidopsis thaliana (thale cress)
Lineage: Eukaryota; Viridiplantae; Streptophyta; Magnoliopsida; Brassicales; Brassicaceae
Source: RNAcentral
CUGAGUAGUCGUGUGUCGGCCA